RNAcentral lists this ribosomal RNA (301 nucleotides) under uncultured bacterium. RNAcentral describes it as "partial 16S ribosomal RNA". It matches the Rfam family "Bacterial small subunit ribosomal RNA", at positions 509 to 809 of the family's 1533-position model. The record is from RNAcentral.
CAGCCGCCACGGUAAUACGUAGGUGGCAAGCGUUGUCCGGAAUUAUUGGGCGUAAAGGGAGCGCAGGCGGAUAGGUCAGUCUGUCUUAAAAGUUCGGGGCUUAACCCCGUGAUGGGAUGGAAACUGCCAAUCUAGAGUAUCGGAGAGGAAAGUGGAAUUCCUAGUGUAGCGGUGAAAUGCGUAGAUAUUAGGAAGAACACCAGUGGCGAAGGCGACUUUCUGGACGAAGACUGACGCUGAGGCGCGAAAGCCAGGGGAGCGAACGGGAUUAGAGACCCCAGUAGUCCCUGUCUCUUAUACA